Molecule: long non-coding RNA, 4779 nt
Organism: Neofelis nebulosa (Clouded leopard)
Lineage: Eukaryota; Metazoa; Chordata; Mammalia; Carnivora; Felidae
Exons: 3
Source: RefSeq, a predicted model, not a curated record
GAGGGGGGAGAGAGAUUUUCUUGUCUAGAAGGAAAGCUUACAAUUUUGAAAACUUCAUAAAUUGUUUUUUGCUAAGACGUCUCUGUUCCAUCCCAAAUAGCUUUGAAAUAUCCAUUACUAUAUCCAAAUGAUAAAGUAGUCCUUUCCUUUUUUAAACUCGGACUUGGAAAAGGUGUCCAUAGCUCUGCCUUGAAGUUCUUUAGAAAGAACUACUAUAAUAGUUUCAAGUAUUAAAAAUAUUUUGAACAAAUACAUUUCAAAUUUUUAACAUAAAUUCAGCAAACCACAAGAUUCACUGGGUCCGGAUUAAUUGGCGAAUUUUCUGUUAGUUUCCUCUCUUUUCUCUGCAAGUUCCUCACAGCCCGUGAAGCUCGAUGCCAGUGUGUUCUCUUUCUCCCCAAACUUCCUAGCAUUGCGAAUGACGCACUUUCACUGUUUGAAAAUGUUUGGAAGUUUGCCAGUCAGAAAGACAGAAGAGUGUCAUAAAACAAAGGAUUGAGAGUAUUUUUCAGUCUCUGACUUCCUUGGGGAAAACAAAAAAAAAGUCAUCUCCACUAAAUCCAAAAGUACAUGACAAUUCACACCAGCUCCUGGUGCUGCCUCCUUAGCCUCUGAUGUGAGUCGGUGACAUUUCCCGCCCAUGUGUGCCCAGCCCUGCCAUGCCCCCGGUACUGAGAGCUGCCGUGAAGGAAGUAGGAACAAGACAAGCCCUGGCUCUCCCGGACCUUACAUUCCAGUGGGGGUGACGUCAACAGACAAACCAACCAAUAACAUAGUUACAGAUUUGUAUUGGUGUUCUGAAGGAAAUAAGCAAGAGCUCCCCCUGAAAACACUGGCAGAAUCUAGGUGGUCAGGGAAGGUUCCCCUGAGAAAAUGGCUUGAAGGUGUUCUCUGGGGAAUGCACCUGAGUCCAAACUUCUUUUUAUCAGGACACCAGUCAUUGGAUUCGGGGCCCACCCUACUCCAGGAUGAUCUCAUCUUCAAUUACAACGGCAAGGACCUGUUUCCACAUAAGGUCGCAUUCUGAGUACUGAAGGUUAUGACUUCCACAAAUGAAUGGAGUGGCGGACACAAUUCAACACGUAACAGACAACUGGAGAUAAGAAAGAAAACACAACCAACCAUGAGUGGAAAGGCGUUCAGACUGAAGGAGAGAAAGAAAUACGGAUACCAAGCGACAGAGGUGGUUGUACGCCUUGAUAGAGUGGAACCAGCCACAUGAGAGGUACCCACAUAUAAGGUCAUCAUCAACGUGCUCAAUUGUCUCCCGUUUUUCUUUGUUUCUCUUUCCCAUCUUUGAUAAGAACUUCUCAUCUUUGCAGUGAUGCAGAACCAACAGAAUCAUGACCUCUUGUUUCCAUGUAUACAGUUGAGGUCAUGCUUUUAUGACACCUUUGGGCAAAACUUUUUCCCUCAUUGAGAAACUGGAGAAACAUUACCGCAAUCCCGUCAUCUUUCACAAGACUUAUCCGUGUGUUCCCACAUACAAACUGUUCCUUUUGUUGGUAUUUUUGCUUAUGAUGAACUUAAGAUAAAUAGGAUAGUAUUUGUACCGCAUUGAGGGUAAAAAGAAAAUGGUUUUUUUUAAUUUUUUUUUUUUAAUGUUUAUUUAUUUUUGAGACAGAGAGAGACAGAGCAUGAACGGGGGAGGGUCAGAGAGAGGGAGACACAGGCUCUGAAACAGGCUUCAGGCUCUGAGCCGUCAGCACAGAGCCCAACGCGGGGCUCGAACUCACGGACCGCGAGAUCAUGACCUGAGCCGAAGUCGGCCGCUUAACCGACUGAGCCACCCAGGCACCCCAAAAUGUUUUUUUUUUAAUGUUUAUUUUUGUGAGAGAGAGAGACAGAGUGUGAGGAGGGGAAGGGCAGAGAGAGAGGGAGACACAGAAUGCGCAGCAGGCUCCUGGCUCUGAGCUGUCAGCACAGAGCCAGAUGGCAAGAUCGUGACCUGAGCCGGAGUCAGAAGCUUACCUGACUGAGCCACCCAGCUCCCUAAUGUUUUACAUGCACAGUAUAACCACCCCAAAGAUAUCUUUAUUAAAUAAGACCAAACAGAACCACAUCGAAACAUUAACAGUGGUUGUCUUUGAGUGAUGGAACUAUGGCUAAUUUUUUUCCUGUGGAAAAAUUAACAUUUUUAAGAAUAGAUUUUAUUUUUAUUAAAGUAAAAUUUUAAAUAAUAUUUAAUAGGCAAUUUCAGAGAAUUAUUUCUUGAUAUAUGAUCUUUAUGCAAAUAACUUGUAAGUUUUAGCUAGCAUAGUACUUCAAAAAAGAAAGCACUGAUUAAUAGACCUUGUAUUUUACACUACAGUCUUUUAAGAAUUUUUAAACUAUGUCUCUUUAAGUUACACGGAAGAUGAUUCUUCCUACAAAUGUUAUGCAGUUUCUCCUAAUCUUUUAUUUUAUCAAAACAUUCAUUUUUAAAAACACAUCCGUGUGGCCAACAGGCACAUGAAAAGAUGCUCAACGUCGCUCUUCAUCAGGGAAAUACAAAUCAAAACCACACUCAGAUAUCACCUCACGCCAGUCAGAGUGGCCAAAAUGAACAAAUCAGGAGACUAUAGAUGCUGGAGAGAAUGUGGAGAAACGGGAACCCUCUCGCACUGUUGGUGGGAAUGCAAACUGGGGCAGCCACUCUGGAAAACAGUGUGGAGGUUCCUCAAAAAAUUAAAAAUAGACCUACCCUAUGACCCAGCAAUAGCACUGUUAGGAAUUUACCCAAGGGAUACAGGAGUACUGAUGCAUAGGGGCACUUGUACCCCAAUGUUUAUAGCAGCACUCUCAACAAGAGCCAAACUAUGGGAAGAGGCUAAAUGUCCAUCAACUGAUGAAUGGAUAAAGAAAUUGUGGUUUAUAUACACAAUGGAAUACUACUUGGCAAUGAGAAAGAAUGAAAUCUGGCCUUUUGUAGCAACGUGGAGGGAACUAGAGAGUGUUAUGCUAAGUGAAAUAAGUCAUACAGAAAAAGACAGAUACCAUAUGUUUUCACUCUUAUGUAGAUCCUGAGAAACUUACCAGAAGACCAUGGGGGAGGGGAAAAAAAAAGGUUAGAGAGGGAGGGAGCCAAAAAAUAAGAGACUCUUAAAAACCGAGAACAAACUGAGGGUUAAUGGGUCGUGGGAGGGAGGGGAGGGUGGGUGAUGGGUAUUGAGGAGGGCAUCUGUUGGGAUGAGCCCUGGGUAUUGCAUGGAAACCAGUUUGACAAUAAAUUUCAUGUUUAAAAAAAAAGAAAUCUAAAAACACAUCUGUGUUUUUAUCUUAGUUCAAACAUUGACUCUCCGAAUGAACAUGUAACAACAAACUUAUAAAUCACUGUGUGUCCAGAUCAAUAGCUAUUCACAAGUAAUGCAUCUCAUGAUCAUUAAUAUUUAAAUAAACUUUGGCUUUGAUUCACAUUAUGUUUUAAAUAUGCUAUUUGAGGAAGAAAACGGAUUAAGAGAAAUCUGUAACAACUAAAGUAUCUUUUCUAAAAGUUUUUAUUUCACUUAUAUGCAGAUUUCAGUUAGUAUAUUGUUAGCAAUCAAAUUCAAAUUCUUAGAUCUCAAAUAUGAAUGGGGACUCUAAGAAAAACAUCCAACUUUUAUGUUAAAUUUGUUCUUUUUGCAUUUCGUCUUUCUGGCACUUUCGUAUUUAGUCAUCCUCUUUCCUAUUCUGCUUGCUCAGUUUCCACAUACAACCAGAUCAGCAGAAGGGGAGAGAAAACAUCUCAUUUGAGGGCAGUGAAGGAAAGAAUCGCUGUUCCUUUUUCUUUCCCUCCCCCUGCCCACCACACACACACACACACACACACACACACACAGUAGAGAAGGGUUCUCUGCAUACAGAUGCUCAUUUGGAAUUCAGAAAUAUUUUACCACAGAAAAAAUAAGAAACUAUAACAAUGUAAGUAUCUUGUUUACCUUCAUUCUGGGUUAAAAUAAGAUUUUGUGGGCUGGCCUGGGAAUCCAGUCUUGUAACAUUAUACACACGGGAAAUUUUCGUUCUGAAAUCUAAAUAGCUGUUUUCCAAGGAAAUUGUUAGAGCACACUGUACUCGGUAGGUCUAGGACCACCUGCCCUCUGCAGGGCUGCGCUCUGCAAUUUGGAAGAGACCAGGAGGAAAGAGGCGUGGUUCCUGAUCUCAAGGCCUGUGCUGGCUACACUGGGAGACUGGGCCCACAAUGAAAUGAUUAUUUCAAGACAGAAAUGCUAUGUGGCUCUGCUCCCAGGUAACAUUUUAAUACAUUUAUUUACCUAUUUGUUCAGCAAACAGGUUCAGCGUGCCUCUUGACUCUAAUUAUCUCUCUCGUUUUUAUAUUUUACAUGCUGUUUUCUAAUGUAAGUAUUACAUGAGUAUAGUAGAAUAUUUGAGCAAUGCAGACCUAUUUGUGGUGACAAAACUGGAAAGGGCUUGACUCUCUAUCGGUAACUAAAUGAUUGAAUAGACCAUAGUUGAUCCAUUCUAUGGGAUGUUAUGCACAAAUAAAAAAAGGACACAUUAAAACUUUCUGGAGACUGGGAUGUGUUUUAAAGAAUGAAAACCAGGAUGCAAAGCAGUGUUCCUAUUAGGAUCUUAGUUUUGCAAAGACAACAGUGACCCCCUCGUCCCCCCCAAAAAAUGUUUGAAUUCAAAAGGAUAAAGGUAUAUAUACAAAGCUGUUGAUACUGGUCACCUUGAGGACAAGAGGGUUACUAAUUUUUUCUUAAUCUUUGUAUGGAGAAAAAAAUGGUAAUUUUAAAAUGAAAAUCUGGAAACACAGAGCAGUUUAAAGAGAAAAAUUAAAAUCACUUUGAUUUCGGA